GACAGAGGGUGCAAACGUUGUUCGGAAUUACUGGGCGUAAAGCGCGUGUAGGCGGCCUCGCAAGUCGGGUGUGAAAGCCCUGGGCUCAACCCAGGAAGUGCACUCGAUACUGCAAGGCUUGAGUUCCGGAGAGGAAAGCGGAAUUCCUGGUGUAGCGGUGGAAUGUGUAGAUAUCAGGAAGAACAUCGGUGGCGAAGGCGGCUUGCUGGGCCAUCACUGACGCUGAGACACGAAAGCGUGGGGAGCAAACGGG
This 253-nucleotide ribosomal RNA is filed under the name uncultured bacterium. RNAcentral describes it as "partial 16S ribosomal RNA". It matches the Rfam family "Bacterial small subunit ribosomal RNA", at positions 524 to 776 of the family's 1533-position model. The record is from RNAcentral.